Molecule: ribosomal RNA, 665 nt
Filed under: uncultured soil bacterium
Lineage: Bacteria
Description: bacterial SSU rRNA
Rfam family: Bacterial small subunit ribosomal RNA
Source: RNAcentral
AAUCAACGCUGGCGGCGUGCCUCAGACAUGCAAGUCGAACGCGAAAGCUCCCUUCGGGGGGCAAGUAGAGUGGCGCACGGGUGAGUAACACGUAGGUAAUCUACCUUUGGAUUGGGAAUAACCACCGGAAACGGUGGCUAAUACCGAAUAAUGCAGCGGCACCUAAUGGUGACAGUUGUUAAAGCGGGGGAUCGCAAGACCUCGCGUCUAAAGAGGAGCCUGCGGCGGAUUAGCUAGUUGGUAAGGUAACGGCUUACCAAGGCGAUGAUCCGUAGCCGGCCUGAGAGGGCGGUCGGCCACACUGACACUGACAUACGGGUCAGACUCCUACGGGAGGCAGCAGUCGGGAAUUUUGGGCAAUGGGCGAAAGCCUGACCCAGCAACGCCGCGUGAAGGAUGAAAUCCCUCGGGAUGUAAACUUCGCAAGAACGGGAAGAAUAAGCCGGUGUUAAUACCUCCGGCGAUGACGGUACUGUUUGUAAGCUCCGGCUAACUCCGUGCCAGCAGCCGCGGUAAUACGGGGGGAGCAAGCGUUGUUCGGAUUUACUGGGCGUAAAGGGCGCGUAGGCGGCCACCGCAAGUCGACUGUGAAAUCUCCGGGCUUAACCCGGAAAGGUCAGCCGAUACUGCGGGGCUAGAGUGCAGAAGGGGCAACUGGAAUUCUC